Molecule: ribosomal RNA, 691 nt
Filed under: Vibrio sp. Zp34A
Lineage: Bacteria; Pseudomonadati; Pseudomonadota; Gammaproteobacteria; Vibrionales; Vibrionaceae
Description: bacterial SSU rRNA
Rfam family: Bacterial small subunit ribosomal RNA
Source: RNAcentral
UCCUAAAGAUCUAAGAAAUACCGUGCCGAAGCGCCCCCUGACAGWACUACACUCAGUCGAAAGCUGGGAASAAACAGAUUAGAUACCCUGUAAKCCACGCCUAAACGAUGUCUACUUGGAGGUUGUGCCUUURAGCCKUGGCUUUCGGAACUAACGCGUUAAGUAGACCGCCUGGGAAGUACGUCGCAAGAUUAAAACUCAAAUGAAUUGACGGGGGCCCGCACAAGCGGUGGAGCAUGUGGUUUAAUUCGAUGCAACGCGAAGAACCUUACCUACUCUUGACAUCCAGAGAACUUUCCAGAGAUGGAUUGUGCCUUCGGGAACUCUGAGACAGGUGCUGCAUGGCUGUCGUCAGCUCGUGUUGUGAAAUGUUGGGUUAAGUCCCGCAACGAGCGCAACCCUUAUCCUUGUUUGCCAGCACUUCGGGUGGGAACUCCGGGAGACUGCCGGUGAUAAACCGGAGGAAGGUGGGGACGACGUCAAGUCAUCAUGGCCCUUACGAGUAGGGCUACACACGUGCUACAAUGGCGCAUACAGAGGGCGGCCAACUUGCGAGAGUGAGCGAUCCCAAAAAGGUGCGGUCGGUAGGUCCGGAUCGGAGUCUGCAACCUCCGACUCCGUGAAGUCGGAAUCGCUAGUAAUCGUGGAUCAGAAUGCCACGGUGAAUACGUUCCCGGGCCUGCACACACCG